RNAcentral lists this ribosomal RNA (460 nucleotides) under uncultured bacterium. RNAcentral describes it as "bacterial SSU rRNA". It matches the Rfam family "Bacterial small subunit ribosomal RNA", at positions 340 to 786 of the family's 1533-position model. The record is from RNAcentral.
UACGGAAGGCAGCAGUGGGGAAUAUUGCACAAUGGGCGAAAGCCUGAUGCAGCUAUGCCGCGUGUAUGAAGAAGGCCUUAGGGUUGUAAAGUACUUUCAUCGGGGAGGAAAAAACAAAACUAAUAAUUUUAUUUCUUGACGUUACCCGAAAAAGAAGCACCGGCUAACUCCGUGCCAGCAGCCGCGGUAAUACGGAGGGUGCUAGCGUUAAUCAGAAUUACUGGGCGUAAAGAGCACGUAGGUGGUUUUUUUAAAGUCAGAUGUGAAAUCCCUGGGCUUAACCUAGGAAACUGCAUUUUGAAACUGAAAUACUAGAGUAUCGUAGAGGGAGGUAGAAUUCUAGGUGGUAGCGGUGAAAUGCGUAGAUAUCUGGAGGAAUACCUGUGGCGAAAGCGGCCUCCUAAACGAAUACUGACACUGAGGUGCGAAAGCGUGGGGAGCAAACAGGGAUUAGGAUACC